This 374-nucleotide long non-coding RNA is filed under the name Ornithorhynchus anatinus (platypus). Its description in RNAcentral is "lncRNA (ENSOANG00000045355.1)". Lineage: Eukaryota; Metazoa; Chordata; Mammalia; Monotremata; Ornithorhynchidae. The record is from RNAcentral.
UUCAGAAUAUAUUUUCAACUCCCCUCCUCUCCCUUCCUCCUCCUAGGGUUUUGAGGGCACCAGCUCCUGACCUCACAAGGGUGGAUGCUCUUGAAAAGCCAACGUCUUCUUCCUGAAAAGAUCAGUUUUUCCCUACUUUGACUGCAAGACAAAAACAGAAGAACUGUCCCAGAGGCUCCUCUCAAAUAACCCCAGAGAAUGUCCAUCUCCUCUCCCUCCUCCCCUGCUGAACAGCCAGUAUGAACAGAGACAGCACUCUAUAGGUGUAUUAAAAAUGAGGUAAGCUCUAAACAGAAGCUGUGCCCAGUGGUUUUUACUGCCUACUGCUCUCCUUCCCAUUUACAGCUCUCUGAUUGAUGUCAGGUAAAUUCCCU